This 73-nucleotide transfer RNA is filed under the name Ictidomys tridecemlineatus (thirteen-lined ground squirrel). Its description in RNAcentral is "Spermophilus tridecemlineatus (thirteen-lined ground squirrel) tRNA". It matches the Rfam family "tRNA". From Rfam's summary of the family: Transfer RNA (tRNA) molecules are approximately 80 nucleotides in length. Their secondary structure includes four short double-helical elements and three loops (D, anti-codon, and T loops). Further hydrogen bonds mediate the characteristic L-shaped molecular structure. tRNAs have two regions of fundamental functional importance: the anti-codon, which is responsible for specific mRNA codon recognition, and the 3' end, to which the tRNAs corresponding amino acid is attached (by aminoacyl-tRNA synthetases). tRNAs cope with the degeneracy of the genetic code in two manners: having more than one tRNA (with a specific anti-codon) for a particular amino acid; and 'wobble' base-pairing, i.e. permitting non-standard base-pairing at the 3rd anti-codon position. The record is from Rfam by way of RNAcentral. Lineage: Eukaryota; Metazoa; Chordata; Mammalia; Rodentia; Sciuridae.
GGGAAUAUAGCUCAGUUGGUAGAGUGCUUGCCUAGCAUGCACAAAGCCCUGGGUUCAAUCCCCAGCAGCACCA